GACGAACGCUGGCGGCGUGCUUAACACAUGCAAGUCGAACGGAAAGGCCCUGCUUUUGUGGGGUGCUCGAGUGGCGAACGGGUGAGUAACACGUGAGUAACCUGCCCUUGACUUUGGGAUAACUUCAGGAAACUGGGGCUAAUACCGUAUAGGAGCUCCUGCUGCAUGGUGGGGGUGGGAAAGUUUCGGCGGUCGGGGCUGGACUCGCGGCUUAUCAGCUUGUUGGUUGGGUAGUGGCUUACCAAGGCUUUGAAGGGUAGCCGGCCUGAGAGGGUGACCAGCGACAAGAGGACUGCGGGACGGCGCAGUCGGCUACGGUAGGCAGCGGUGGGGAAUAUGGCACAGUGGGCCGAAGCCAGUUGCGACGACGCCGGGUGCGGGAUGACGGCCUUCGGGUUGUGAACAGCUUUCGCCUAUGACGAAGCGGGAGUGACGGUAAUGGAUAAAGAAGCACCGGCUAACUACGUG
Molecule: ribosomal RNA, 468 nt
Filed under: uncultured bacterium
Lineage: Bacteria
Description: partial 16S ribosomal RNA
Rfam family: Bacterial small subunit ribosomal RNA
Source: RNAcentral